GUCUUGGUGGCUCAGCGGUAGAGCGUUGGUCUCAUAUUCUUCUAUGAUAUAUGAAGCACUCUCAGAGUGAGCUAUCCAAAGGUCGUGAGUUCGAGACUCACCCAGGACA
This is a non-coding RNA of Nemania sp. FL0031, 109 nucleotides long. Lineage: Eukaryota; Fungi; Ascomycota; Sordariomycetes; Xylariales; Xylariaceae. The record is from the annotation of a GenBank genome assembly.